Molecule: long non-coding RNA, 282 nt
Filed under: Lathyrus oleraceus (garden pea)
Lineage: Eukaryota; Viridiplantae; Streptophyta; Magnoliopsida; Fabales; Fabaceae
Description: Pisum sativum (pea) long non-coding RNA (PSAT_LNC029777)
Source: RNAcentral
AAAUAUUUAAAUAUUUUUGGUGAAAGUACCAUAUUUUUUGAAUUAAAAAUGAAAUUAGUAUGAAUUAAUCAAAAUAAACGGAUUAAACAAAAAAAAUCAGAAAAUAAAAAAAACAAGGGCCAUCAUAUCUCCCUAAUUAAUUAAGGUGGAAGAUCUGAUGGCCAAGCGCAUGCAUUCCACGAUGAACUGCAAUCAACGCGUUGCAAACUUGGUAUUCAAAAUUAAAGGCCAUGAUUAAAAUAAUUUAAACAUAUCUGAUGGUUGAGAGGCGUGACAACACAC